AUGGCCUCUUCUCCCCAUGUGAGCCAGAUCACGUUGCCCCCACCCACCACGGCUUCCCAAUGCUUGUGGAGUCAAACUGACUCCUUGCCGUACCCCAGACGUGCCUCCAUCACUGGCCCUGCCUCCAUCUCUAAUCUUGUCUUGUACUCCCCUCCUCAUCACCAUGCCCUGGACACACCUACUUCAGAGCUGUCCACCCUGCAGGAACUUGUUGGUCCCAUCAGUCCAUUUUCUCUGAGAUCUUGGCGUGAUCAACAGCUUCAUAACAUGCAGAGCUCCGCACAAAGGCAUUUCUACCUACUGUAACCUCAGAUGUUAGCUCAAUAGGAAGCCUUGCUUAACCAAGUCAUCCGAGAAGCCAAGCCCCCAGUGAAUCUCUACCACGCCAUCCUGUCUUACAGCCCUGGUAGUUCUUCCUACUCUGAAGUUUCUCAUUCACAUGCAGCGAUCUUGUCACUGUGGCGUAUGCAUUUAGGGACUGUCUGCCUGCUCUGCUAAAUGAGUUCAGUGAGAACUGGGUCCUUGCCUGUUCUGUUUAGAUGCCCAGAGUUGAACAUGUCCCUGAAUGAAUGAAUGAAUGAAUGAAAUGCUGAUUAACUCAAGAGAUCUUGAAAAAAAUGUAAAUUAGUCAAUCCAGGUUUUGGAGGAGAGAGCCAGGGUAAUGAAAGGCAUAGAGAAGAGGCCAUCAGUCACCUCUGUGGUCAGACUUUGAUGACAUUUACCCACCAUUUAGCCCACUGUCCAGAGAGAUCCCUAGCCAAGAAACUCUCUCAAGGAGGAAAUAAUGAUCAAGAAACUCGCAUAUCACUGAAAGCAGUAGGGAGUGGGGAGUAUGCUUUAUCAGGUCCCAAAUAAUCAUCUACCUUCCUUUUGCUCUGUUACAAAUUGCUCAUCGUGGCUGUGACUUUCUGAUAACAAGGGAUCCUUCCCUAAUUACUAUAUGUUCUAUUUCAGGUUCAGCAGAAAAGAAAAUUAAAAAGCUCCAUUUCACUCCAGGUUCAAAUGAGUCGAUCUUUCAAUCAAUCAAGUAUUAAUUAAGCUAUGCUAGGAAAUACAGUGGAGGAAAAAGACCUUCUCUCUACUCAAAGAUGAUGCAUAGAAAAUAAUUAGAGAAUAAUUUAAGGACAAUGGAAAGAGUUUAAAAAGGGUUUUCAUCUGGGCUUUCUUUGACUUUCCGUUAAGUCUCUAGCCACUUUAUUCUUCUUUACUCUUUCUCUCUCUCUCUUCCUUUCAUUUCUCUCUUCCCUUCCCUAAUUACAUUGUCUCCCAAGGAUACAUGUCAUAGACUCUGACAAUAAUUAGUCGUUUUCAGUCACUCUUAGGAGUAAACACUAAAAAUCGUGUCUCUCUGAUACUCUGAAAAUUCCAACAGUGCCAAAUGUGAUUGAAUAUAAUAUCCCCAGCCUGUUAGCAAGUUAUAAACGUCCUCAUAUUUAUGUCCCUAGGUCAUCAAGGAAACUUGAGUUUUCUUCUCCUCAACCAAAAAACAACAAAUUCAGGACUUUUGCCUCCUUCACUAAUACCGGCUUGGAGUCUAGGCAACAUCCACUUAAGCACUUUGAGUUUAUAGUUUUCUCUUCUGUAAACACAAAUGUUAGCUCUUAGCACAUUUCUCAGAAGGCGAGGUGUUUUUUCCACUGUACUACAUUGUUUUAUUCCUUAUACCCCACAGAGUGCCUGGCAGAAAGUGGGCUGGCAGUAUUUGCUGAAUGGAUGAAUGAAUGAAUGAGUGAGUAAAUGAAAGAUAUGUAUAAAGAUAAUGUGUGUAAAGCAUAUUGCCUAAGUACACUUCACACAGUGGGAGCCUUAGAAUUGCCUUGAAAACCAUAGAGCACUCUAUUGAUUAUACUACUCAUUGUGUGAAAGGUAAAAACAGCCAUUCAUUUCAGAAUUCAUAGAGCUUUUGCAGAGUUUGAUCACUUUCACUGUGAACUGGUUUAAGAAGUGAAUCAGCCAAUCCUAGGAGUCAAGGCAGACUCAUCUGCCUUUCCCCUGCUCUCUCAUUAAUUUUAUUCCCGUUCAUUCUCAGCUGCCACCCCUCUUUCAGCCCUGACAUCCAGGAUCUAGUUUCUUAGGGCUACCUUGUCUUGUCCAUCACUAUCAACUUUCUCCUCUUCAUUUAAGCUAGAAUGCUCACUUGUUUUCCUUUGACUAACCUCUUUUAACACAGAGACCUCAGAGGCCAAAGCCUCAAAAACAGAGGGUUGGCAUAAUGUCUUAUCACCUUUCACAGGAACAGGGAAUGAUCUGUUGAAUCCAAAAGCCACCAUUGGUUGUGUUCUUACUAAGUGCCCAACUCUGUGUGUGUAAUCAAGGCUCAACAGACAGGACCUCAUUCAAGAAUGCAGGAGGUGGGUCUUUUAAAUCCCCAUUAUACAGAUAAGGAAACCAAGGCUAUCAGAGACUGAGUAAUUUGCCCAAGGCCAUGGAGCUACUUUUCACUGUGUUCAUAGGGUUCUUGAGGCAAUAAUACUGAAGUGGUUGGCAAUACCCUUCUCCAGUGGAGCACGUUUUGUC
This 2517-nucleotide long non-coding RNA is filed under the name Capra hircus (goat). Its description in RNAcentral is "lncRNA (ENSCHIG00010021294.1)". Lineage: Eukaryota; Metazoa; Chordata; Mammalia; Artiodactyla; Bovidae. The record is from RNAcentral.